Molecule: ribosomal RNA, 492 nt
Filed under: uncultured bacterium
Lineage: Bacteria
Description: partial 16S ribosomal RNA
Rfam family: Bacterial small subunit ribosomal RNA
Source: RNAcentral
AGUGAACGCUGGCGGUAGGCCUAACACAUGCAAGUCGAACGGCAGCACAGUAAGAGCUUGCUCUUACAGGUGGCGAGUGGCGGACGGGUGAGGAAUACAUCGGUAUCUACUUUUUCGUGGGGGAUAACGUAGGGAAACUUACGCUAAUACCGCAUACGACCUACGGGUGAAAGCAGGGGAUCUUCGGACCUUGCGCGAUUGAAUGAGCCGAUGUCGGAUUAGCUAGUUGGCGGGGUAAAGGCCCACCAAGGCGACGAUCCGUAGCUGGUCUGAGAGGAUGAUCAGCCACACUGGAACUGAGACACGGUCCAGACUCCUACGGGAGGCAGCAGUGGGGAAUAUUGGACAAUGGGCGCAAGCCUGAUCCAGCCAUACCGCGUGGGUGAAGAAGGCCUUCGGGUUGUAAAGCCCUUUUGUUGGGAAAGAAAAGCAGCAGGUUAAUACCCCGCUGUUCUGACGGUACCCAAAGAAUAAGCACCGGCUAACUUCGUG